RNAcentral lists this transfer RNA (95 nucleotides) under Streptosporangium pseudovulgare. RNAcentral's name for it is "tRNA-Ala". Lineage: Bacteria; Bacillati; Actinomycetota; Actinomycetes; Streptosporangiales; Streptosporangiaceae. The record is from RNAcentral.
UGCGCGGCGGGCCGGGCGGGCCGGGCGGUCCGUCGCCGGGGUCCGGGGCCGUCCCGGCGGUUUCGCCGGGACGGUUCGAUGACAUCCCGUGCGCC